CCUCUCUUGGGGUCGCAUCUGGAGAGUUUCCAAUACUCUACCAGUCUUGGCUACAGGAGGGAGAGUCUAGCAGAGGUCUGUCCAUUCCAUUCCUAGCUUGGGCAGUGGCUAGCCAACGGAGGGCAAGCUGCUACAAGU
Ornithorhynchus anatinus (platypus) is the source of this 138-nucleotide small nucleolar RNA. NCBI's taxonomy places the organism in Eukaryota, Metazoa, Chordata, Mammalia, Monotremata, Ornithorhynchidae. The record is from RefSeq and is a predicted model, not a curated record.